GCAGUCGAGGGGUAUAUCUCUUCGGAGAUAGAGACCGGCGCACGGGUGCGUAACGCGUAUGCAAUCUACCUUUUACAGAGGGAUAGCCCAGAGAAAUUUGGAUUAAUACCUCAUAGUAUAGCUCUGCCGCAUGGUAGUACUAUUAAAGUCACAACGGUAAAAGAUGAGCAUGCGUCCCAUUAGCUGGUUGGUAAGGUAACGGCUUACCAAGGCUACGAUGGGUAGGGGUCCUGAGAGGGAGAUCCCCCACACUGGUACUGAGACACGGACCAGACUCCUACGGGAGGCAGCAGUGAGGAAUAUUGGACAAUGGGCGCAAGCCUGAUCCAGCCAUGCCGCGUGCAGGAUGACGGUCCUAUGGAUUGUAAACUGCUUUUAUACGAGAAGAAACACUGCUUCGUGAAGCAGCUUGACGGUAUCGUAAGAAUAAGGAUCGGCUAACUCCGUGCCAGCAGCCGCGGUAAUACGGAGGAUCCAAGCGUUAUCCGGAAUCAUUGGGUUUAAAGGGUCCGUAGGCGGUUUAAUAAGUCAGUGGUGAAAGCCCAUCGCUCAACGGUGGAACGGCCAUUGAUACUGUUAAACUUGAAUUAUUAGGAAGUAACUAGAAUAUGUAGUGUAGCGGUGAAAUGCUUAGAGAUUACAUGGAAUACCAAUUGCGAAGGCAGGUUACUACUAAUGGAUUGACGCUGAUGGACGAAAGCGUGGGUAGCGAACAGGAUUAGAUACCCUGGUAGUC
Molecule: ribosomal RNA, 736 nt
Filed under: uncultured bacterium
Lineage: Bacteria
Description: bacterial SSU rRNA
Rfam family: Bacterial small subunit ribosomal RNA
Source: RNAcentral